GAGUUUGAUCCUGGCUCAGAUUGAACGCUGGCGGCAUGCCUUACACAUGCAAGUCGAACGGCAGCACGGGAGCUUGCUCCUGGUGGCGAGUGGCGAACGGGUGAGUAAUGCAUCGGAACGUAUCCUGGAGUGGGGGAUAACGUAGCGAAAGUUACGCUAAUACCGCAUAUUCUGUGAGCAGGAAAGCGGGGGGACCUUCGGGCCUCGCGCUCUUGGAGCGGCCGAUGUCGGAUUAGCUAGUUGGUGAGGUAAAGGCUCACCAAGGCGACGAUCCGUAGCAGGUCUGAGAGGAUGAUCUGCCACACUGGAACUGAGACACGGUCCAGACUCCUACGGGAGGCAGCAGUGGGGAAUUUUGGGACAAUGGGGGCAACCCUGAUCCAGCCAUGCCGCGCGAGUGAAGAAGGCCUCGGUG
Molecule: ribosomal RNA, 415 nt
Filed under: bacterium enrichment culture clone ALO1_GLFRUDD03GTT7F
Lineage: Bacteria
Description: bacterial SSU rRNA
Rfam family: Bacterial small subunit ribosomal RNA
Source: RNAcentral